RNAcentral lists this ribosomal RNA (3151 nucleotides) under Streptomyces lunaelactis. RNAcentral describes it as "23S ribosomal RNA". It matches the Rfam family "Bacterial large subunit ribosomal RNA". Lineage: Bacteria; Bacillati; Actinomycetota; Actinomycetes; Kitasatosporales; Streptomycetaceae. The record is from RNAcentral.
ACAGUGGACGCGAGCAUCUGUGGCCAAGUUUUUAAGGGCGCACGGUGGAUGCCUUGGCACCAGGAACCGAUGAAGGACGUGGGAGGCCACGAUAGUCCCCGGGGAGCCGUCAACCAGGCUUUGAUCCGGGGGUUUCCGAAUGGGGAAACCCGGCAGUCGUCAUGGGCUGUCACCCGCUGCUGAACACAUAGGCAGUGUGGAGGGAACGAGGGGAAGUGAAACAUCUCAGUACCCUCAGGAAGAGAAAACAACCGUGAUUCCGGGAGUAGUGGCGAGCGAAACCGGAUGAGGCCAAACCGUAUGCGUGUGAUACCCGGCAGGGGUUGCGCAUACGGGGUUGUGGGAUUGCACUUCAACAGUCUGCCGGCUGUUGGGCAAGUCAGAAACCGUUGAUGUAGGCGAAGGACAUGCGAAAGGUCCGGCGUAGAGGGUAAGACCCCCGUAGCUGAAACAUCAACGGCUUGCUUGUGCGACACCCAAGUAGCACGGGGCCCGAGAAAUCCCGUGUGAAUCUGGCGGGACCACCCGUUAAGCCUAAAUAUUCCCUGGUGACCGAUAGCGGAUAGUACCGUGAGGGAAUGGUGAAAAGUACCGCGGGAGCGGAGUGAAAUAGUACCUGAAACCGUGUGCCUACAAGCCGUGGGAGCGUCGCUCAUUGAGUUUACUCAAUGGGUCGUGACUGCGUGCCUUUUGAAGAAUGAGCCUGCGAGUUAGCGGUGUGUAGCGAGGUUAACCCGUGUGGGGAAGCCGUAGCGAAAGCGAGUCCGAACAGGGCGAUUGAGUUGCACGCUCUAGACCCGAAGCGGAGUGAUCUAGCCAUGGGCAGGUUGAAGCGGAGGUAAGACUUCGUGGAGGACCGAACCCACCAGGGUUGAAAACCUGGGGGAUGACCUGUGGUUAGGGGUGAAAGGCCAAUCAAACUCCGUGAUAGCUGGUUCUCCCCGAAAUGCAUUUAGGUGCAGCGUCGUGUGUUUCUUGCCGGAGGUAGAGCACUGGAUAGGCGAUGGGCCCUACCGGGUUACUGACCUUAGCCAAACUCCGAAUGCCGGUAAGUGAGAGCACGGCAGUGAGACUGUGGGGGAUAAGCUCCAUGGUCGAGAGGGAAACAGCCCAGAGCAUCGACUAAGGCCCCUAAGCGUACGCUAAGUGGGAAAGGAUGUGGAGUCGCAGAGACAACCAGGAGGUUGGCUUAGAAGCAGCCACCCUUGAAAGAGUGCGUAAUAGCUCACUGGUCAAGUGAUUCCGCGCCGACAAUGUAGCGGGGCUCAAGCGUACCGCCGAAGUCGUGUCAUUCCAGCAUAUAGGGCCAACGCCCGCUGGGAUGGGUAGGGGAGCGUCGUGUGCCGGGUGAAGCCGCGCCGGAAGGCAGUGGUGGACGGUACACGAGUGAGAAUGCAGGCAUGAGUAGCGAUACACACGUGAGAAACGUGUGCGCCGAUUGACUAAGGGUUCCUGGGUCAAGCUGAUCUGCCCAGGGUAAGUCGGGACCUAAGGCGAGGCCGACAGGCGUAGUCGAUGGACAACCGGUUGAUAUUCCGGUACCCGCUUUGAAACGCCCAAUACUGAAUCCUCUAAUGCUAAGGCCGUGAAGCCGCCCUGAUCUCUUCGGAGUUGAGGGGAGUGGUGGAGCCGCCGGCCCAAGGUGGUAGUAGGUAAGCGAUGGGGUGACGCAGGAAGGUAGUCCAGCCCGGGCGGUGGUUGUCCCGGGGUAAGGGUGUAGGCCGUGUGGCAGGCAAAUCCGUCACACAUUAAGGCUGAGACCUGAUGCCGAGCCGAUUGUGGUGAAGUGGAUGAUCCUAUGCUGUCGAGAAAAGCCUCUAGCGAGUUUCAUGGCGGCCCGUACCCUAAACCGACUCAGGUGGUCAGGUAGAGAAUACCGAGGCGUUCGGGUGAACUAUGGUUAAGGAACUCGGCAAAAUGCCCCCGUAACUUCGGGAGAAGGGGGGCCAUCACUGGUGAGAGGACUUGCUCCUUGAGCUGGGGGUGGCCGCAGAGACCAGCGAGAAGCGACUGUUUACUAAAAACACAGGUCCGUGCGAAGCCGUAAGGCGAUGUAUACGGACUGACGCCUGCCCGGUGCUGGAACGUUAAGGGGACCGGUUAGUGCGCUUUCGGGCGUGCGAAGCUGAGAACUUAAGCGCCAGUAAACGGCGGUGGUAACUAUAACCAUCCUAAGGUAGCGAAAUUCCUUGUCGGGUAAGUUCCGACCUGCACGAAUGGCGUAACGACUUCUCGACUGUCUCAACCAUAGGCCCGGUGAAAUUGCACUACGAGUAAAGAUGCUCGUUUCGCGCAGCAGGACGGAAAGACCCCGGGACCUUUACUACAGUUUGAUAUUGGUGUUCGGUUCGGCUUGUGUAGGAUAGGUGGGAGACUUUGAAGCGGCCACGCCAGUGGUUGUGGAGUCGCCGUUGAAAUACCACUCUGGUCGUGCUGGAUGUCUAACCUGGGUCCGUGAUCCGGAUCAGGGACAGUGUCUGAUGGGUAGUUUAACUGGGGCGGUUGCCUCCUAAAGAGUAACGGAGGCGCCCAAAGGUUCCCUCAGCCUGGUUGGCAAUCAGGUGUUGAGUGUAAGUGCACAAGGGAGCUUGACUGUGAGACCGACGGGUCGAGCAGGGACGAAAGUCGGGACUAGUGAUCCGGCGGUGGCUUGUGGAAGCGCCGUCGCUCAACGGAUAAAAGGUACCCCGGGGAUAACAGGCUGAUCUUCCCCAAGAGUCCAUAUCGACGGGAUGGUUUGGCACCUCGAUGUCGGCUCGUCGCAUCCUGGGGCUGGAGUCGGUCCCAAGGGUUGGGCUGUUCGCCCAUUAAAGCGGUACGCGAGCUGGGUUUAGAACGUCGUGAGACAGUUCGGUCCCUAUCCGCUGCGCGCGCAGGAGUCUUGAGAAGGGCUGUCCCUAGUACGAGAGGACCGGGACGGACGAACCUCUGGUGUGCCAGUUGUCCUGCCAAGGGCAUGGCUGGUUGGCUACGUUCGGAAAGGAUAACCGCUGAAAGCAUCUAAGCGGGAAGCCUGCUUCGAGAUGAGGACUCCCACCUCCUAGAGAGGGUAAGGCUCCCAGUAGACGACUGGGUUGAUAGGCCGGAUAUGGAAGCACCGCAAGGUGUGGAGUUGACCGGUACUAAUAGGCCGAGGGCUUGUCCUCAGUUG